This 380-nucleotide ribosomal RNA is filed under the name uncultured archaeon. RNAcentral describes it as "bacterial SSU rRNA". It matches the Rfam family "Archaeal small subunit ribosomal RNA", at positions 347 to 727 of the family's 1478-position model. The record is from RNAcentral.
ACUUUACAAUGCUGGCAACAGCGAUAAGGGAACCUCGAGUGCCAGGUUACAAAUCUGGCUGUCGAGAUGCCUAAAAAGCAUUUCAUAGCAAGGGCCGGGCAAGACCGGUGCCAGCCGCCGCGGUAAUACCGGCGGCUCGAGUGGUGGCCACUAUUACUGGGCUUAAAGGGUCUGUAGCCGGCCGGAUAAGUCUCUUGAGAAAUCUGGCAGCUUAACUGUCAGGCUUUCAGGAGAUACUGUCUGGCUCGAGGCCGGGAGAGGUGAGAGGUACUUCAGGGGUAGGGGUGAAAUCUUGUAAUCCUUGAAGGACCACCAGUGGCGAAGGCGUCUCACCAGAACGGACCUGACGGCAAGGGACGAAAGCUAGGGGCACGAACCGG